This 380-nucleotide ribosomal RNA is filed under the name uncultured eukaryote. Its description in RNAcentral is "SSU rRNA". It matches the Rfam family "Eukaryotic small subunit ribosomal RNA", at positions 587 to 972 of the family's 1831-position model. The record is from RNAcentral.
AGCUCCAAUAGCGUAUAUUAAAGUUGUUGCGGUAAAAAAGCUCGUAGUUGGAUUUCUGUUGAGGACGACCGGUCCACACACUGUGUGCGUAUUGUGUUCGGCCUCGGCAUCCUUCCGUAUGGCCUGUCUGCGCUUUAUUGCGUGGCGGGAACUGCGGAACUUUUACUUUGAGGAAAUUAGAGUGUUCACGGCAGGCUAUCGCCCGAAUACAUUAGCAUGGAAUAAUACUAUAGGAUCUCGGUUCUAUUUUGUUGGUUUCUAGAAUCAGGAUAAUGAUUAAUAGGGACAAUUGGGGGCAUUCGUAUCAACACGUCAGAGGUGGAAUUCUUGGAUUGUGUUGCGACGAACUACUGCGAAAGCAUUUGCCAAGGAUGUUUUCA